Alligator sinensis (Chinese alligator) is the source of this 2988-nucleotide long non-coding RNA. RefSeq lists it as uncharacterized. The transcript is spliced from 4 exons. The record is from RefSeq and is a predicted model, not a curated record. Lineage: Eukaryota; Metazoa; Chordata; Crocodylia; Alligatoridae.
GUUUCAAGUUUGGGCGCAGCAGGGAUCCGCGGGGGGCGACCGCUGUCGUGCCCCCGUCUGCCCUGCCUGCUAGGAGCAGGGCAUCCCGCAGCCAUCUCGCUAUCCAGGCUCACCGGCAAGGCUACGCGGAGGACGGGGCCCCUGGCUUUCUGAACCAGUUCUAGGACAAAAUGAUCCCGAUGGUGGCAGUAAACUUCAUCAUGCAACUGACACAUGAGAGAGGAAGAGGAUUAAGAAAAUGCCCUGUUGUGAUUUCAACUCAGUUCAUUCCUAGAUGUCAGUGGACUUGCUUCUCCAUUGUCUGUUUGAUCAAGAGUUCUGCCUCUCUCAUUCUCCAGGCAUUUUUCUUCUGGAGUAAAUUAUGACUGAACAUCUAGAUUUCUAAUUAUUUUUCCAAAGCAUGAUAAACCAGCAGUAGGACUUGACAGAGGUCCAAGCUGGAAUAAAUCUGGAAUCAAACAAUUUUCUCCACCACACUGUUCUAUUUGUUACUCGGGACUUCCAUCUCCUCUGCUCAUUAUACAAAUUGGUUUGAGUCCUCCUUGCUUCAUUGAAUCAAAGGUAAUUUUACCAUUUACCACAAUAAGAGAAGAAUGAGCACUCAGUGAAGGGACUUUAAAAUGUCAUUUUUUUCCUAUACAAGGCAUUCAAUAUCUUGGAAAGUCCCCAAUUCCUAAAACAGCAUAAAUUAUGAGAUUUAACUGAGAAAUACUGCACUUUAGAUUCCAUCUGAGAUUGUAUCAUGUAUGCACAGCAUUUUAUAUUUAUCACCUUAAAUUACUUCUAUUGAAUUUUGAUUAUAAUGCUUUUUAAAAAUAUCACACUAGCUUAUACGUGGUCAGAAAUAAAUCGAAUAUGAUUCGUUCUACUUUGUGCUUGGAUGAUGUACUAAUUUAUUUCCCACAACAGUACCAUUCAUUGUAUAAAGCUAGGAGUUGUUUUUCUAAUUUUAACAAGUUUAGCUUGCUAAUAACCAAGACAAAUGUAUAAAUUUGUGUUUUUCAGGUGAAGUUUUUCACUUUAAUCAAAAACAUGCUUGCAAUGCAUGAGACACUCAAUUGAUCUCUUGCACAAUUUUUUAAACGUUAGAAUUAAUUAAUGACAAACAUUUAGUUAGAAAUCUUUAGUAAGCUGGUUCUUAAUGUUGAUCUUGAUUUAUAUUCAAGUCAUGUAUUUAUUCAGACUUUCAAAUAAAAUAUGUUUGAAUUGCUACACUGAUAUAAUAGCAUGCUUUGCAGAGUACUCUUGAAUGUCAUAAUGUUGAUAUGAUCUUUCAUGUGGUAUAUUUUCACCUUCACUGAGCCUGUAGUAAGGCUGAGCUAUCAGUACUUAAACCAAUCACAAAUUUUCAGUGAAAGUCCUGUAUUUUGAAUGUAUGCAAGAAGAAUAACAAAAUCACUCAGUACCCCACUUCUAAAACCAUGUUCCUCAAAUAAAGAAACUCACACAACAGACUUCAGAGCUGUUACUUCUGACUGAAAUCCACUAAGCUAAACUUGGAUUUGAAUGACAUAAUGAGUCAUUUGAGUCACAACGUCUCAUGAAAAUUGAGACAACUUACACUAUAGCAGCCAUGAGAAAGUCAAGCACCUAUGACAGAGGUGGGCAAAAUGCGGCCCGCGGGCCAGAUGUGGCCCGCCAGCUCAUUCUAUCCAGCCUGCGGGGCCCCUAAACAAUUUAGAAAAUUAAUAUUUAUCUGCCCCUGGCUGCCUGUCAUACAGCCCUCAAUGGCUUGCCAAAACUCAGUAUGUGGUCCUCCGCCUGAAAUAAUUGCCCGCUCCUGACCUAUGAUCUACGGGGAAACAACUUGAAAGAUCUUACAAGGACACCUUGUUUUACAGUGUUAUUUUAUGGUGUCUGGUUAAUUGUAGAUUGAUGAGGUAAUGCAGUGUUUGCCAACCUCUGGCAUAAAGCAUGAAUAGUGAGCUUAUCUAACUGCCUAAACUCCUGUAAUGGGUUGGCUUCUGCAGAUGGCUUUUGCUCCCUCAACCAGUCCUCCCAAAUAAAAUACAGUACUUAAACAACAAACAAAUGGACAGACAAAACCAAAUCUUUCCGCCCUUUGCCUCUGGCCCCUGCACAUCAACCUGGCCCCCUCCUCAUAGCAAACUGUUCCACUCCUAACUUACUUCCUCCCUUUUGCUUACUCUUCUGGGAGCUUUUAAAGCCCCCAGUGGGACACUCCCUGCUGUCCCAAUGCCUCUCAGCUGGGUUUGCUUAACAAGGCUGAUCGUUCCCUCUUAAAGGGACAUCCUGCCCUGUUUACAGGGCCCAACCUGCACUAUCAUCUCUCUCAUGUAUAUUUUCUGCUCUGACAGAGGUCCCUCACAUAAAUAGGCCACCACAGAGUAUUAAUGUUUUAAAUUACUCUUUUUGUAUUAUAUCUGUAGCACCAACAGUGCACAAUCUUUAUACUAGUUAUACUGCAGAAGAAAAAUUGGUGCUGAGAAAUCUACAUCUAAAUAUGACAAUAUAACUAAUGAAGAAAACUGGGAAAAGAGAUGCAUAAUCAGUUCUUAUGUUUUUAUUAAUUGGUCAGACUGCACAUAUGCUUGUUAGUUCCAGAUUUUUUAUUCAUUUUUAAUUUGCAGUGGAAGAGUAAUUACAGCUCCAGAGGUAUGUUUUGGAGAGUAACUAAGUACUUAGUAUCCUGCUGUUUUGUAUUUAUUCAGUGAUAUGACAUUCUCAGGCCCUGGACUGGUCAAUGGAGCCAUUCAGUCAGACCUACCAUCCCAUGGCAAACUAUAUGACUAGGGCAAGGCUUGCCUGAGGCCUCCAGCAGGGCCUAGCCAUUUGUCUACUCCCUGUCACCAGAGUGGUUGGUCAGUGUCACCUGACUCCCUACUGUCCCCAUAUAAAAGCAGGAACAUGAAGUUUCUGGGCAACAGGAUUCACUUGUUGGCUACAAAUGUCCAACUCGGGAUCCUUAAAAUUCUGGUUUAUUAGGCGGAUUGAAACACUGUAAUGAAGUUAAAUCAUAAACCUUGG